RNAcentral lists this transfer RNA (75 nucleotides) under Nanobdellota archaeon. Its description in RNAcentral is "tRNA-Ile". It matches the Rfam family "tRNA". Rfam says of the family: Transfer RNA (tRNA) molecules are approximately 80 nucleotides in length. Their secondary structure includes four short double-helical elements and three loops (D, anti-codon, and T loops). The record is from RNAcentral. Lineage: Archaea; Nanobdellati; Nanobdellota.
GGGCCCGUAGCUCAGUCUGGUUCGAGCGUUCGACUGAUAAUCGAAAGGUCCGCAGUUCAAAUCUGCGCGGGCCCA